Molecule: ribosomal RNA, 896 nt
Filed under: Thermotogae bacterium enrichment culture clone H12_1_22
Lineage: Bacteria; Thermotogati; Thermotogota; Thermotogae
Description: bacterial SSU rRNA
Rfam family: Bacterial small subunit ribosomal RNA
Source: RNAcentral
AGAGUUUGAUCAUGGCUCAGGGUGAACGCUGGCGGCGUGCUUGACACAUGCAAGUCGAACGGUAUGUGGCAACACAUAGAGUGGCGAACGGGUGAGUAACACGUGGGAACGUAUCUUUUGCAGGGGGAUAACUGACCGAAAGGACAGCUAAUACCGCAUAAGUCCGGGAGGAGAAAGGUGCAACAGCAUCGGCAGAAGAGCGGCCCGCGGUCCAUCAGCUAGUUGGUGAGGUAAGGGCUUACCAAGGCGACGACGGAUAGCCGGCGUGAGAGCGUGGCCGGCCACAAGGACACUGAGAUACGGGUCCUACUCCCACGGGAGGCAGCAGUGCGGAAUUUUAGAUAAUGGAGGGAACUCUGAUCUAGCGACGCCGCGUGCAGGAAGAAGGUCUUCGGAUUGUAAACUGCUGUGGUAAGGGAAAAAUGCUAUGUAGAGUGGAAAGCUACAUAGAGGGAUGGUACCUUACUAGAAAGCCCCGGCUAACUACGUGCCAGCAGCCGCGGUAAUACGUAGGGGGCGAGCGUUACCCGGAAUCACUGGGCGUAAAGGGAGCGUAGGUGGCCUAACAUGUCAACUGUGAAAACCCGGAGCUCAACUCCGGACUUGCAGUUGAAACUGGUAGGCUUGAGGACGGUAGAGGAAGACGGAACUGCCAGUGUAGGGGUAAAAUCCUUAGAUAUUGGCAGGAACGCCGGUGACGAAAGUGGUUUUCUGGGCCGGUUCUGACACUGAUGCUCGAAAGCCAGGGGAGCGAACGGGAUUAGAUACCCCGGUAGUCCUGGCCCUAAACGAUGUUCACUAGGUGUGGGGAGCGGAAAGCUCUCCGUGCUAAAGCUAACGCGAUAAGUGAACCGCCUGGGAGUACGCCCGCAGGUGAAACUCAAAUGAAUUGACGG